CAGCAGCCGCGGUAAAACGUAGGUGGCAAGCGUUGUCCGGAAUUAUUGGGCGUAAAGGGCUCGCAGGCGGUUUCUUAAGUCUGAUGUGAAAGCCCCCGGCUCAACCGGGGAGGGUCAUUGGAAGCUGGGAAACUUGAGUGCAGAAGAGGAGAGUGGAAUUCCACGUGUAGCGGUGAAAUGCGUAGAGAUGUGGAGGAACACCAGUGGCGAAGGCGACUCUCUGGUCUGUAACUGACGCUGAGGAGCGAAAGCGUGGGGAGCGAACAGGAUUAGAUACCCCUGUAGUCCCUGUCUCUUAUAC
This 301-nucleotide ribosomal RNA is filed under the name uncultured bacterium. RNAcentral describes it as "partial 16S ribosomal RNA". It matches the Rfam family "Bacterial small subunit ribosomal RNA", at positions 509 to 807 of the family's 1533-position model. The record is from RNAcentral.